UCCCCGGUAGCUCAGUUGGUAGAGCGGUCGGCUGUUAACCGAUUGGUCGCAAGUUCGAGUCUUGCCCGGGGAGCCA
RNAcentral lists this transfer RNA (76 nucleotides) under Nitrospinota bacterium. RNAcentral describes it as "tRNA-Asn". It matches the Rfam family "tRNA". Rfam says of the family: Transfer RNA (tRNA) molecules are approximately 80 nucleotides in length. Their secondary structure includes four short double-helical elements and three loops (D, anti-codon, and T loops). The record is from RNAcentral. Lineage: Bacteria; Pseudomonadati; Nitrospinota. RNAcentral also lists the same sequence under 3 other names.